CCCUGCUGUGGUGCCGGGUUACACUGAGAUCCCUGACUGCACGAGCUGAGGCAGCUGGACAUUUCCCUUGCCAGGGUGAUCUCCAUCCUCAACCAGCUCCACGCCCUCAGGCACCUGGAUCUCUCUGAUGACUGCUUUGCCUCUGGAAUGUCCACCACAGAGGAUGACUAAGAAAUGGAGGGGGAUGAGGCGGUUAGGCUGCUUCUGGAGGGAGUUUUGGGGUUCUCCCACUGCUGGUGUCUCUGGAUGUUUCUGGAAGGAAGAGGGUGACUGAAGGGGCGGCCAAGGCCUUCGAGGAGGGGAGGAGUGGGCUGGUGUUUUUGGGGCUGCUGGCUACUGUGACGUUCGGUCUGGGAAGGACGACUUAAAAGUAACCGGUGAGGCCAAUGAGGCAGAUAUGUGAGUUUCUGAGGAAGUACAAAGAGAGGACCUGAGCCCUAGGACCAUGCCCCAAGACUACCUGACAU
This is a long non-coding RNA of Oncorhynchus gorbuscha (pink salmon), 467 nucleotides long. RefSeq lists it as uncharacterized. The record is from RefSeq and is a predicted model, not a curated record. NCBI's taxonomy places the organism in Eukaryota, Metazoa, Chordata, Actinopteri, Salmoniformes, Salmonidae. The transcript is spliced from 3 exons.